CCAGGGAACAAAGAGGAAGAAACUGAGCAGCCGUAAAGAUGAUGACAGUGCCAGUUUGGGAGAAGUGAGUGACAAAAUAGAAGAGUUGGUGUUGGCAUCUCAAAGUCUGCCAGCUGUCACAGCAGCAAUCAAAGAGCUCACUGAUCUUGCAGUUGCCCAGAAAGUCACAACCCCAAGCUGCAGACACUCAAGGAGGGAUUUAGCUGCGUGGUUUGUAUGAACAUCAUUGAGGAUCCAGUGUUCUCACUGUGCUGCAGAAGCAUUAUUGGCUGCAAGACAUGUGUGGAACAGUGGCAAGAGACAUCACAGCACUGUGCAAAAUGCAGGGAGAGUAACAACGGAGUUCUACAAAUUACUGGUCUAACAGCUGCAUUUUCUGUAUUGAAAUCUUUUUUGCAGAGGAGUAAUGUAGUGUGUACACACAAAUGUUUACAGUCAGUUGAUUUUU
Oreochromis aureus is the source of this 448-nucleotide long non-coding RNA. RefSeq lists it as uncharacterized. The transcript has 3 exons. The record is from RefSeq and is a predicted model, not a curated record. Lineage: Eukaryota; Metazoa; Chordata; Actinopteri; Cichliformes; Cichlidae.